This 330-nucleotide unclassified non-coding RNA is filed under the name soil metagenome. RNAcentral describes it as "partial contains 5.8S ribosomal RNA, internal transcribed spacer 2, and large subunit ribosomal RNA". The stretch from base 6 to 121 matches the Rfam family "5.8S ribosomal RNA", at positions 39 to 154 of the family's 154-position model. The record is from RNAcentral.
GAUGAAAGAACGUAGUGAAAUGCGAUAAGUAAUGUGAAUUGCAGAAUUCAGUGAAUCAUCGAAUCUUUGAACGCACAUUGCGCUCCCUGGUAUUCCGGGGAGCAUGCCUGUUCGAGCGUCAUUACAACCCUCAAGCUCUGCUUGGUGUUGGGCCCCGCCGCCCCGGCGGGCCCUAAAGUCAGUGGCGGUGCCGUCCGGCUCCGAGCGUAGUAAUUUUUCUCGCUUUGGAGGCCCGGGCGCGUGCUUGCCAUCAACCCCCAAUUUUUUUCAGGUUGACCUCGGAUCAGGUAGGGAUACCCGCUGAACUUAAGCAUAUCAAUAAGCGGAGGA